RNAcentral lists this long non-coding RNA (3293 nucleotides) under Bos grunniens (domestic yak). RNAcentral's name for it is "lncRNA (ENSBGRG00000015823.1)". The record is from RNAcentral. Lineage: Eukaryota; Metazoa; Chordata; Mammalia; Artiodactyla; Bovidae.
GGGGCGGGAAUCAACAGAAGUCUAGCUAGUCGGAUCAGUCUGUGGAGUGAACAAAGUCAAAGCCCAUGUCAACAGCGGUUCGACUGAUUUUUAACCUCUUGGACAAGUCAACUUGGUUUCAAAGGGUUGGACCCUUGGGACAUGGACAUCCAGGCAGUGGGUGCCUCUGGAGGCAGGUCAUGGGCAUGAAAAGAUAGAUGGACAUUUAAGAUCCAUGGAGAGCAUCAUUGGUGCUGUUACACAAUGCAAGAAGAGAAAGCUUCAGUUUCUCAAGGACAAUGUUAAGUCGGUUCAUCAGCCAGCUUGACAUCCCAAACUCACCAUCACCCAGCAAGACUCAAGCUCUGAGCUGCACUGCAGACGAGCCAGGGGUGAGGUGCCCUAAUCUGGACUCUUCAGGCAUGGCUCCGCGCUGCAGGUUGAAUCCAGUUGUUGACUCAGGAUGGUUCCAGGUUGCAGCUCCCCGGUCCGUGUGUUUUCCAUGUGACAAGAACUUCACGGAGAAAGAGAAAAUUGGCAGCCCAGUUUCUGAAUUCACCACCAGGAUAAAGCCCGAGAUCCUUGGCUUGGAUCUCCUUGUGAUGGAUGGAAGGCAGAAUGCAUGAUGUCCUAACACUGAUAUUAAUUUGGGGGAGUCAGGUUCUGAUUUACCAGGGUCUUGUGAACGAGAAUUGGUCAUUGAAAGCCUUAAUGUUUUUGUUUUAUUUUGUCUUUUAAUCUCCAUCCAGGCUUGUGAUUGAAAAAUGCUUUCAGGACCCUUGCUUUUCUGGCCAGCAAAAAACUUACAAAAACGAUUCUCAUGUGGGGAACACACAAGGAAAAAAUGGAUGUGUUUUCUUCAACACCUGUUUUCAUUAAGUAAGGGGAAGGAAACGAAAGAACUUUUUAAUGCUUAUCAAGUAAGUGCCAGAAGCUUACAUAUGUUAUCCCACUUUAUCUUUCAACUCAGAGAGGUGUAGAUACUGUGGUCCUUGUUUGGGACACCCUCUCUAAGAUUUUAAUGAAAUAAGAUUUAUCUUUUAGAAUUAAACUGUUAAUGAAUUUUACAGGACUCAAGUAGAAAUUAAAAGUUACAAGAAAAAGAGAGAAUAGUGUUUAGAUCAGCACAACAUGCAAUCAUGUUCAUGUUAAUUGAUGUUCUGACUAAAUAACAGUGUCCUGGGAUAAAGGUACAGAUCAGCCACAGAAGUUCAGACAAAAGAGGGACCCAGAGAUAAACAAGAGCUGUCAGGGGAAAAGGAGAAACUCGACCAAUGAAUCGGGAGGAAUCUUGGUUCGUUGCCAGGUUCUCCAUUUUGUGGAAAUGUACACCUGAGGCUAUAUUAACUCGAUUCCAUCAAACACCCAACCAGCUUCCCUUUUUCUGAUUUCAUGCUCAACAAACAAACCCCUGGUUGUAAUUUGACUUCCACGUGGGUUUACCUACAGGAAAAGAAAGUUGCUGACCAAGCAGCUGCGAGGAUUCUGGUCCAAGUCUUAUUUAUCUUGGGAGAUUAAUAAAAUGGCUUUCUGAUUUUAUAUGUUAGUCUUGUGAUUGGUUACUAUAAAUAGAUCCUCCUGGCAUAAUCAGGUUUCUGAAUCUACCAAAGAGAGACCCACAUCGUGGAUGGGAGAGUAUUUGUCAGGCAGUUCAUGCCAAGUUGUAAGAUCUCACUGGAAUUAACCACUCUACCUGACACAUAUUACUUCAGCCAGGUGAUAAGACUUGGCGUCAAUAUUGAUACUAUGUAGGCUUUUGACAGUGUGAUGGAAUUGCACUUUAUCUCUGUGGUCUUCCUUCCAAAUAGCUAAAAUCUCUGCCUAAUCAUGAGGAAAAGAUCAAACAUUCUACAGAAUACCUAACCCAAACUCACUGAACUCUCAGGGUUGUCAAAAACAAUUAAUAUCUUGAGAAGCUAUCACAGCCAAGAGGACCUAAGACAACACACAACUGAAUGCAAUGUGAUAUUUUGGGUGCCUACAUGAAAUUGUGGAACAGAAAAAGAAUGUUAACUAAAAACCAAAGAAAUCUGCAUAAAAUAUGUGUUUUAACAUCAAAGUAUUGACAUUGGUUCACUAACUGUAACAAAUGUACCACAUCUUUAUGGUGGCCCAAGAAAUCUGUUUAGAUUAUGCUGCAUUUAGGAAAAAAGUACUUCUUAUAGACCAUAUGUCCUAUUAAAAAAAUUGUGUUGGAAGUUGUGUGUAAAUCUUCAGCCUUAUUAUAGUUAAGAAAACCAUAUGAAGAGUAAAGAAGGCUUACCUAGACCUCACAAGAGAGGAGAGGCUUUGAACAGAAAAGAACUUGAAAGGUCAAAGCUCACCCUGAAUUUGUCUGAUAUGUUUUGGAGACUUGUAACUGAAUUGCUUGGAUGAAACAAUCUGUGAUGUGAUUCUCUGCUUAGUAACUCAGGCGUUUGGGAAAGACAUCGCUGUGGGUUAGUGUGACAUGCUGUUUGCCUGGAGGAGGAAGGUGAUGAAAUCUAAGCUAAGAUCAAUGCUUGUGGACUACAGAUGUGGUUUUCUGAAAGGCAAGUAGAGACUAUUUAAAAUAAGAAUAAAAGAAUAUACUUCUCUCAGAGAGAAGGAAAGGAGGCUCUCAAGAUAGAGAACAAGAUUGUGAACUGAAAGAUACUUCCUAAAGGAUACGGCAAAGACCUCCUCUUCAUCACCCAUCCACCCAUCCAUCCCUCUAACCCAUACAUCCAUCCACUCAUCCAUCCACCCAUCCACCCGCCCAUCCAUCCACCCAUACACCCAUCCAUCCAUCCACCUAUUCAACUGUCUUCUCUUCAUUCAUUGUCUUAUCUGGGGCUCUGGGCACAAUCCUAUUUCAUAUUCCACUCUAAGUUAUUGUUUCCUCUGUUGGAUAAGAAUAGUUAUUCCCAAUGCUGUCAUCAUAUCUGCUAUAAGAUUUGUAUGGUUGGGCUGGAGGAAUUAAGAAACACAAGAGGAAAGGGAAGUAGCACUCCACAUUUUCCAAUCCCCUGAUGCCAGCAUAGCAGCAGCAGAACCACCUGAAGGAGGGUGACAGUCUCAGAGUUUCUGGUACCAGCUGGAAGUGCAGUGAGAGUUGUCCAAGAGGCAGCAGAAAGCAGCGGAGAGGAAUAUGCAACCCAGAGAAGCAGCUGCCCGUUGGAGCAAGAAACCGUUUUAAGACAAAUCCCCCUCUCCCAAAAUAUGGAGGAAGGUAAGCCCAGUACUUGGGUUACACAUGGAUUAUGUCAGAUAAUAUAUAUUCUGCACAUAGUAAGCACUGGAUAUAUGGUAGCUAUUAAAAUAAUAAUAAUAAAUCUAAACGAAUUCCACCUGUG